GAAGUUUCCGAGGAGACUUCUCAGGCUGGGCUGGACACACCUUUCCAAGGACCCCCAAACUCUGCUCCGUGCACGUCAAAUGCUCCUUUCUCUUGGGUCCAACCCCCUACCCCUCUCCCUAACACCCCUCUUCUCAAGAAGACUCAGCCUCUCCCCGAGCCCUGGUAGGUCUGGAGCUCCCCACAGACACUGAUCUCAGUUUCCCCCGAGAGUGAGAGUGUAGGCCUCUACAGGCAGCUGCCUUUGGGGAGGUGGGGAGCCUAGGGGUUAACUCUAGACCCCCCUCAACUCUCUGGACCAAAGUCUGUCCAGGAAAACAGGAUGCCGGAGCCCAGGAGUCGUCAGCCUAGCAGUUGCCUGGCCUCCAGAUGCCUCCCAGGGGAGCAGAUCCUAGCAUGGGCCCCAGGGGUGAGGAAGGGCCUGGAACCAGAAUUGUCUGGAACCCUGAUCUGUACCAACUUUAGGGUCACCUUCCAGCCCUGUGGAUGGCAGUGGAAUCAGGACACUCCCUUGAACAGUGAAUACGAUUUUGCCCUGGUCAACAUUGGACGAUUAGAGGCUGUGAGCGGCUUGUCCCGAGUCCAGCUCCUCCGUCCAGGGUCCCUGCAUAAAUUUAUCCCUGAGGAGAUUCUGAUUCAUGGCCGAGACUUCCGGCUGCUCAGAGUUGGUUUUGAGGCUGGAGGCCUAGAGCCUCAGGCUUUUCAGGUGACCAUGGCCAUUGUCCAAGCCAGAGCUCAGAGCAAUCAAGCCCAGCAGUAUUCGGGGAUAACCCUGAGCAAGGCUGGCCAGGGUUCUGGCUCCAGAAAACCACCAAUUCCUCUCAUGGAGACAGCGGAAGACUGGGAGACUGAGCGGAAGAAGCAGGCAGCCAGAGGCUGGAGGGUCAGCACGGUCAACGAGAGGUUCGACGUAGCCACUAGCCUCCCCCGUUACUUCUGGGUCCCUAACCGAAUUCUGGACAGUGAGGUCAGGAGAGCAUUUGGCCACUUUCAUCAGGGCCGUGGACCGGUCAGUGUGAUGGUUAGGGUAAUGGCUGUGGAUUAGAGGGUCAUGUGGGCCAGGGACAUCGUGGAGGGAGGAACCUCUGUGAGGUCAGUGUGGGGGCAAGGGUAGCGUGGAGCUAGGCAUUUCUCCCACAAUGACCCUCUUCUGCCCCAUGUGAAGCGCUUGUCCUGGCAUCACCCUGGGGGCAGUGAUCUUCUCCGCUGUGGAGGCUUCUAUACAGCCAGUGACCCUAACAAGGAGGAUAUCAGAGCAGUGGAGUUGAUGCUCCAGGCUGGGCAUUCAGAUGUUGUCCUGGUAGACACUAUGGAUGAGCUGCCCAGCCUUGCAGAUGUCCAACUUGCCCACCUGAGGCUGAGGGCCCUCUGCCUGCCCGAUUCAUCUGUAGCUGAGGAUAAAUGGCUUUCAGCCCUGGAAGGAACACGAUGGCUGGACUAUGUCAGGGCUUGUCUUCGAAAGGCCAGUGACAUUUCAGUAUUAGUGACAUCCAGGGUUCGUUCUGUAAUACUUCAAGGCUCCGGUGUUUCUCCUCUUCCUUGAUUGUGUCUGGCAGCUCCUCCAGCAGUUUCCAGCUGAUUUUGAAUUCUCUGAGUUUUUCCUUCUUGCUCUUCAUGACAGUGUCAGGGUUCCUGACACCCUUACCUUCCUGAGAAAUACCCCCUGGGAGCGCGGAAAGCAGAGCGGACAGUUAAACUCCUAUACACAAGUCUACACCCCAGGAUACUCCCAGCCUCCAGCUGGGAACUCUUUUAACCUGCAGCUGUCUGUCUGGGACUGGGAUUUACGUUAUAGCAAUGCACAGAUACUACAAUUCCAGAAUCCUGGCUAUGACCCAGAACACUGUCCAGAUUCCUGGCUCCCUAGACCACAGCCAAGCUUCAUGGUUCCUGGACCCCCCAGUUCUGUGUGGCUCUUCUCUAGAGGAGCAUUGACCCCCCUGAAUCAGCUCUGUCCUUGGCGGCAGAGUCCUUGCCAGCAGAGUCCCUCCCUGCUGGCAGUCUCUUCUCGUUGGCUCCCUCGACCUGCUAUCUCCUCUGAAAGCCUGGCUGACCAGGAAUGGGGUCUCCCCUCACAUUGGGGAGCUUGCCCUUUACCUCCAGGGCUGCUGCUGCCUGGGUAUCUGGGACCCCAGAUCAGGCUCUGGAGACGCUGCUACCUGAGGGGAAGGCCUGAGGUCCAGAUGGGCCUCUCAGCUCCCACAAUCUCUGGCCUCCAGGAUGAGCUAUCCCAUCUUCAGGAGUUAUUACGGAAAUGGACACCAAGAAUAUCUCCUGAGGAUCACUCCAAGAAAAGAGAUCCACAUACCAUUCUCAAUCCCACUGAAAUUGCUGGCAUUCUCAAAGGCAGGGCAGAGGGGGAUCUGGGGUAGAGGAGGGUUCCGUCUAAUCUUUUUUUUUUUUUUUUUUUUUUUGUAUCUGGACUUGCAGCCUCAGCUUUCACACUUCAGCCCUUAAGUUCACUAAGAAGGUCUGAGUUUCUGCUGCAGAUGGUGGUGUUAACUGCUCCAACUCUUGUCUUGCUUAGUUCCUACAAAUAUUUUUGCUUCUUGUCAUUUGAAGGAUUAAGAAACAAAAACAAUCCAGAAAUUGAUCGGUUUUCUUAGGCCAAUCCCAUCCCUUCUGGAUAACCAGAUGUUAAAUCAUGAGAUCAGAGAUGCUGUUCAUCAGUCCCAACAAGAUGGCCUAGAAAUCGCAUUCUCACCUCGCCUUGCUGCUGCUUUAAUUCCAAGUUCUAUUUCUUCCCUUAUAGUUUUCUAUAGGAAUGAGGCGGAUACAGGAAACACCCUGUCUCCUCUGUAUUUUUGUAGUGGAAUUUCUAUUUAAGGGGCUCAUUAAAGCAUAGUAUUUAUACACA
RNAcentral lists this small RNA (2856 nucleotides) under Pan troglodytes (chimpanzee). RNAcentral describes it as "retained intron". Lineage: Eukaryota; Metazoa; Chordata; Mammalia; Primates; Hominidae. The record is from RNAcentral.